AAGACAGAACAAACCUGAAGAUAGCGUUAGAUGGAGAGAGCUUAGAACUCUUUGGUAUUGCUGACGGCUGUGUCAGAUGAGAGGAUACUACGGAAAAUGACAGUCCCAUGGAAAACAGUAUUCCCAAAGGAGCUUAAAAAGAGUCACCAUAUAAUCUGUAGACUGUACACCUGAGAGAAUUGAAAGCGAAGGUUCAAACAGAUGAGUGGAUAAACACAAUGUGAUAACACAGAAAGCAAGUACAACACACAACAUGGAGGAGCCUUGAAGGUAUAUCGAAUGAAACAAACUAGUUACAGAAGACCAAAUACUACAUGACUAUGACUCACAAGAGGUAGUUCAAUUCAUGAAUACAUCAUGCAGCGCAGUGCUGCCAAGGGCCAGUAGGAUGGCUGUGGUUAGGCUUCAGUUGGGGACUAUGUCAAUUUCUCUGGAGGUGGACACAAUGUAAUGACAGUUGGUGCCACCCAACUGUAGAUCAACAGUGAGUGAAACAGAACUCAAACCCAACACACAGCAGUGCACAUCACAAGUAUUUCCCAAUGCCUUCAGCCACCUCUCAGGACAGCCUUGUCAGGACACCCUUGCUUCAAGCUAGACUUCCCUCCAGUGUCCAGCAUUCUUCUGCUUCCUGGAACUGCCGGGUGCUGUCAUGAUCAGCACCAGAACAAGCUUUCUGAAUGGAAUCAACAUUUUCCUACCUUUUUGUUACUGAAGGGCACAUAGUAAACUUACUGAAGUAAAA
Long non-coding RNA from Peromyscus eremicus (cactus mouse), 745 nucleotides. RefSeq lists it as uncharacterized. The record is from RefSeq and is a predicted model, not a curated record. The transcript has 2 exons. Lineage: Eukaryota; Metazoa; Chordata; Mammalia; Rodentia; Cricetidae.